GACGAACGCUGGCGGCGUGCUUAACACAUGCAAGUCGAACGGAAAGGCCCGGCUUUGGUGGGGUGCUCGAGUUGCGAACGGGUGAGUAACACGUGAGUAACCUGCCAUUGCCCUUGGGAUAACUUCAGGACGCUUGGGCUAAUACCGGCUAGGAUCUCCUGCUGCUUGGUGGGGGUUGGAAAGUUUCGGCGGUUGGGGAGGGACUCGCGUCUUAUCAGCUUGUUGGUGGGGUAGUGGCUUACCAAGGCUUGGACAGGUAGCCGGCCUGAGAGGGGCACCGGCCCAAUCGGGACUGGAAUACGGCCCAGACUACAACGGGAGGCAGGGGAGGAGAAGAUAGUACAGUGGGCGGAAGCAUGACGCAGCCAAGCCGCGUGGGGGAUGAGGGCAAUCGGGUUGUAUACCAAAUUCGUCUGUGACGAAGCGUGAAUGACGGUAACGGGAAAAGAAGCACCGGCUAACUCCGUG
This 468-nucleotide ribosomal RNA is filed under the name uncultured bacterium. RNAcentral describes it as "partial 16S ribosomal RNA". It matches the Rfam family "Bacterial small subunit ribosomal RNA", at positions 28 to 507 of the family's 1533-position model. The record is from RNAcentral.